UGGGGAAUAUUGCACAAUGGGCGAAAGCCUGAUGCAGCGACGCCGCGUGAGGGAUGACGGCCUUCGGGUUGUAAACCUCUUUCAGCAGGGAAGAAGCGAAAGUGACGGUACCUGCAGAAGAAGCGCCGGCUAACUACGUGCCAGCAGCCGCGGUAAUACGUAGGGCGCAAGCGUUGUCCGGAAUUAUUGGGCGUAAAGAGCUCGUAGGCGGUUAGUCGCGUCUGCUGUGAAAACUCGAGGCUCAACCUCGGGCUUGCAGUGGGUACGGGCUGACUAGAGUGCGGUAGGGGUGACUGAAUUCCUGGUGUAGCGGUGGAAUGCGCAGAUAUCAGGAGGAACACCGAUGGCGAAGGCAGGUCACUGGGCCGCAACUGACGCUGAGGAGCGAAAGCAUGGGGAGCGAACAGGAUUAGAUA
RNAcentral lists this ribosomal RNA (416 nucleotides) under uncultured bacterium. RNAcentral's name for it is "partial 16S ribosomal RNA". It matches the Rfam family "Bacterial small subunit ribosomal RNA", at positions 355 to 784 of the family's 1533-position model. The record is from RNAcentral.